AGUGCCAUAUUUGUGUUCAGUGUUUUCGGCCAUUUGCAAAAAAUAAUCUUAUUUUUCCAUAUGAAGGAAGAUCUUACUGUGAAUAUGAUUUCUGGCAGCUAUACGGCCCGAGAUGCGGUUACUGCUUUGAAAAUAUAGUGGGAGAAGCUUUUUCAGCUGCAGGAAAAACUUGGCAUGUUGAACAUUUUCUUUGUGAG
Molecule: long non-coding RNA, 197 nt
Organism: Zophobas morio
Lineage: Eukaryota; Metazoa; Arthropoda; Insecta; Coleoptera; Tenebrionidae
Exons: 3
Source: RefSeq, a predicted model, not a curated record